UUGAGAAAUAAUUUGUUUUCCUGGGGAGAAGCAAGGUUUAUCUGUGCCGGCAGCUGGGAUUUCUCUUUUCCUUUUAUGGUAGGAAAAAAGAGCAUUUUUAAACCUUUCGGAAAGACAUCCUACUUUAAUUAGAUCAGACUUUAAAAGAGGUUUAGGUUGCCAGAGGGGAAAGUGCCUCUUGUGUGGCCUGGAAGCUCUAUGGUCCAACCCCACCCCCUCACAGAUGGCUCUGUGAACAUUGACCCUAGAGUCAGAGUCCUGGAG
This 264-nucleotide long non-coding RNA is filed under the name Cervus hanglu yarkandensis (Yarkand deer). Its description in RNAcentral is "lncRNA (ENSCHYG00000006529.1)". Lineage: Eukaryota; Metazoa; Chordata; Mammalia; Artiodactyla; Cervidae. The record is from RNAcentral.